GUGAGGAAUUUUCCGCAAUGGGCGAAAGCCUGACGGAGCAAUGCCGCGUGAAGGAUGAAGGCCUAUGGGUUGUAAACUUCUUUUCUCAGAAAAGAAUUAUGACGGUAUCUGAGGAAUAAGCAUCGGCUAAGUCUGUGCCAGCAGCCGCGGUAAGACAGAGGAUGCAAGCGUUAUCCGGAAUGAUUGGGCGUAAAGCGUCUGUAGGUUGUUUAAAAAGUAUUCUGUCAAAGAUUAGGGCUUAACCCUAGAUAGGCAGAAUAAACUUUUAAGCUAGAGUUUGGUAGAGGCAGAGGGAAUUCCCGGUGGAGCGGUGAAAUGCGUAGAUAUCGGGAGGAACACCAAAGGCGAAGGCACUCUGCUGGGCCAAUACUAACACUGAGAGACGAAAGCGAGGGGAGCAAAUGGGAUUAGAAACCCGUGUAGUCC
This 426-nucleotide ribosomal RNA is filed under the name uncultured bacterium. RNAcentral's name for it is "bacterial SSU rRNA". It matches the Rfam family "Bacterial small subunit ribosomal RNA", at positions 354 to 796 of the family's 1533-position model. The record is from RNAcentral.